Molecule: long non-coding RNA, 1886 nt
Organism: Equus caballus (horse)
Lineage: Eukaryota; Metazoa; Chordata; Mammalia; Perissodactyla; Equidae
Source: RefSeq, a predicted model, not a curated record
CGGUGGUCGGUUACUGGUUUCCACACAAGCCAAGCCCUUGAUCUGCCGUGUUUGAGGAAACCCUUUGUUCCUUUCAAGUCUCUAUUCUCUGAGCCAGGCUGGUGCACAGACCCAGGCAGUGAGUUUUCUCUUUCUUCCUUUUCUUUUUGGAUUUUUAAAAAUAACUGGUUUGUGCGUUCAGGCCGUGUUCCAGAAUUGGGUUCCCAGGCUGGGGUUCAGGGCCAGGGACUCCAGCAGCCACUUACUCCUGGGAAGGCCUGGGAGGAGGGAAAGCUGAAAGGCUGGGGGUGGGGGAAGACAUUAAACCUGUGCCCGAGAGAGGGACUCAGGCUCAGGAGCCAGUGCUGGGAGGGGAGGCUGGAGAGCAGAGACACAGACAGCAGAGGGUUCUGAUCCUGGCUACAGCACCCCCAGGCUGGCCACCCUGGGGUUCUCCCCUCCCGCUCUGGACCUCAGCUUAGUUAAGUCAGAUCAGAGACCGGAGCAGAUGCCUACCUCUCGGCAUUGCUGGGCCCAUGCCAGACAUUGCUAAUCGAUCGCCCUCCCACACAGAGCUUGGAUGAGCCCAGAGAAUCCUUCUCAGCACAGCCUCUGGGUGUUUACUACCGACUGGACUUGCCGUACAAAACGAGACCUACCUCCCAUCCUCAGACAAGCCAACGCGAAGAAAUGGAGCUGAAAAUAGAAACUGUCAAAACAACAAGCCAUUCCAGCUCUAAGCGCCAUAGUAAACAAAUGGUCCAGUGUUGCUCUGAUGGUUUAAUUGCAGCAGUUCCAGACAAGCCCAUUCACGAAGGAUCUUCAGUUGACGGGAAGGAGGAGUGAGCCCCCCUCCGGGGAAGGGGCGGCUUGUGGCUAGCCCUUGGGGGAAGUCUUUACCAGGUGAGGCUGAUGCUCUGGGGAGCCGGCUGGAUUUCAGCAGCCAAAGCCCUAGCUGGCUGGAUCAGACUCUCUUUGCCUUCGGACAUCAAGAUGGUGGAUAUUUGAACUGGAAGGAUAAAGAAAGGCCUCUCUGAGGAGGUGGCAUUGGAGCUGGACCUGAAGAUGAAGAAGAUGACAGCUUCACAGACAGCCAGGGGAAGCGAGUCCCAGGCAGGGGGAACAGAAGAUUCAAAGGUCCUGAGUCAAUAGAAUCCAUAAUUUUCAGUUCGGCAUAUGGCAGCCUGGAAUGAGGAUUACGGUUCCCAGCUUCCCUUCCACAUCCUCAGUAUGGCCAUGGGGAAUUUGAGAUGUGAUGACUGGAUCUCAAGCAGCCAUCUUGGACCGUGUGGUGAAUUAAAGAUAGCUGCUGAUUCUUUGGCUGUCCUUCCUUCGAGAGGAAGAGGCUAUUUGGGAAUCUGAAUUUGGGCUGGCCUGUGACUUCUCGGGUCAACAGAGUAUAGCGGAAAUGAUACUCUGCCAAUUCAAGGCCCAGCCCUUAAGAGCACUGGUAGCUUCUGCCGUGGCCUCUUGGAUUCAUGAGCUGCCAUGGAAAAAUGUCAAACCACUCUGCUGGAGAGACCACCUGGAGAGGCCCUGAGACCACAUGGAAAGGGGGAGGAACCCAGCUAGCUCAGCAUUUCAGGUUUCCCCACCAAAGCCCCAGGAAUCCUGGUAAAACCAUCUUGACCCUCCAGACGAGCCCAACCAUCAACUGAAUACGACCAAGUGACUGGCUGAUGCCCAUGGAUCAGAAGGAUCACCCAGCUGAGCCCUGCCCAAAUUUCUGACCCACAAAACUGUAGAAAAUAAUGAAAUGGUGUUUUGGGGUAGUUUGUUAAGCAGCAAUAAAUAACCCGGACAGACCAUAAAGCAGAAGCUGUUUGCUGAGUAUGGUGCAACAGCUACACCAGCCCUGGUCUGGCCAGCUCCAGAUUUCGUAUUACCCAAGAAAAGGAAACCCUGUG